GGGCGCUUAGCUCAGCUGGGAGAGCAUCUGCCUUACAAGCAGAGGGUCACAGGUUCGAGCCCUGUAGCGCCCACCA
This 76-nucleotide transfer RNA is filed under the name Clostridiales bacterium. Its description in RNAcentral is "tRNA-Val". It matches the Rfam family "tRNA". Rfam says of the family: Transfer RNA (tRNA) molecules are approximately 80 nucleotides in length. The record is from RNAcentral. RNAcentral also lists the same sequence under 5 other names. Lineage: Bacteria; Bacillati; Bacillota; Clostridia; Eubacteriales.